GCCACUUCAGCAAAAUUUUAACUUGCUCUAGGCCAUGGAUCACUGGAUCCCUUGAGACUUGCCAAAGUUACAAAUACUACAUUCAACAAUGUCAAGGUUCUUGGGUAAUCUGCACUGUAAUACUAAAAUUGUUAAAUCAGGUAGUAAUAUAACUGUAUAACAUGAGAAAUACUAGUAACUGAUUUUUUCCAGUUAUUAAUCAAACUGUGAAUAGAAUUCUUUUAUGGCUUAUAUAUUUAAACUACUGAGGAAUCAUUCUUGAUUAUCUAUAAAUAUGUUUUUAUUAUCAGUCACAGAUAAAUGUUUUAAUCUGUAUAAAUGAAGGUAUAAUCAAGUCUUAGGAUUUAUGACAGAAUAAAAUGAAGAAAUUUUUUAGAGAUGCACAUAAUGAAGACAGUUUUAGGGCCUGAGAUCUUCAAAGAAGGUCUUGGAUUCCUGGGCUCGAAGAAUCCUCUUGUCUCAACUUUCUGAAUAGCUGGCACUACAGGUAAAUACCAACACUUCUGGCUACAAAGUAACUCUUUAUAGGACAUCAAUGGACUCAUUAAAGUUUCCUUAAAGACAUAUUAAAAAUUUUAAAACUUUAUCAGCCAGAAGCCCUUUAGCGACAAGUGACAGGAACCUAAAUCCAAAUAGCUUCAGCCAGAGAAAACAAUACCAAAAGAAAAACUGAUUCACUUCUCUAUCAAGGAAGUCUAAAGGUCAUGUUUUCAUUAGUUGAAAAUAAGAAAUAACAAUGUUUUAAGGCUAUUGUAUCAUACCAUAGUUUGGUUCUGCUUCUGAUUGUGUAGCUACCUUCAUUAUUUUAUUUGUGUGUGUGUGUGUGUGUGUGUGUGUGUGGUUACAAAGAUAUUUGUCAAAUCCUCAGAGUUACUGCUCUAUUCCUUUCUUCUCCCUCUUCUCUGCCAUGCCUCCAUGCUAUUCUGUCCUGUGUUGGAGACAUUUGGAUAUGGACUGAAAUAUCUACAAACUGUGAGCCAAAAGAAAUGUUUGGUAUUUUGAUCCAGCAAUGAGGAAAGUAAAAAAGACAUCAUCUCAUUUAGAAUGCCCCAGAGAAGACAUCAUCAGAAUGUGCAGUACGACAUGGAUAAAUAGUCUAUGGAGUCUCUUGAGCACCAAUUUAAAGAAGAUUUACCGACUUUUGUUGGCAAGAAAACUUCGAAUCUCAAGAUCAUUUGAUAUAAUUCAGUCUUGACCAUAGACUUCAGUCAACCAAAGAAUAAUUGCUAAAGCCCUCCAAAGGUAGCAGCAGAAGAAAAUAUAUUGAAUCCAGGGUCUUUGAGAAGAUAAUCCUAUUGACAAAAUCAGACAUUCAAUACACAGAAUUACUAAAGUGAGACCAAAACACUGAAUGCAGUAUUAUCCAGAGUUUACAAUACACUUGACAACUGGGUUGCUAGAACUGUGUUGCUGUCAUUGCUGCUAUUGGAACAUCUGCCUGGAUGUCUGGAGCCUACAGUCCAACUGAAGUUCUGGGAUUGCUGCUGAUGCUGCCUGACCUGCAGUCCUCUGCAACUGACCCAUCAUCUAGUAUGAUAUUAAAUCUUUCAUCCACCUUACAGACUUUCACUAUUUCUGCUCUUCACUUUCUUCUCACUGUGCCCCCCCUUUUUUUAACAUGACCAUAGAAUCCUUGGGUCUUCUUUCUUAUUUUCCCAAUAAUUUCAUUACUUAUGCUUUAAUUAGAAAAAAGGAAAAACUAUCAUGCUUUUCAUUAGAAUUACUUAUUAUUUUAUUUCAAAAUAUACAUUUAAAGAAGUUAGUCAAAAUUUACUGGAGGAAAUGGUGUCUUAAACUAAAAGUGUAAAUAAGGAUCAAAAUGUAUAAUUGAUAUUGUGAAAUAGCAAGAAAAGGUCUAAAAGGAGUAGGGGAAG
Heterocephalus glaber (naked mole-rat) is the source of this 1874-nucleotide long non-coding RNA. Lineage: Eukaryota; Metazoa; Chordata; Mammalia; Rodentia; Bathyergidae. The record is from Ensembl.